AGAGUUUGAUCAUGGCUCAGAACGAACGCUGGCGGCGUGCUUAACACAUGCAAGUCGAGUGCGCGGUUGUAGCAAUACAACUGGCGCACGGCGCACGGGUGCGUAACACGUGGGUAACCUGCCCUUUGGUGGGGAAUAACUCCGCGAAAGCGGAGCUAAUUCCGCAUAAGAUCCGCAAGGAUGAAAGCCGCAAGGCGCCGAAGGAGGGGCCCGCGCCCGAUUAGCUAGUUGGUAGGGUAACGGCCUACCAAGGCUUUGAUCGGUAGCUGGUCUGAGAGGAUGAUCAGCCACACUGGAACUGAGACACGGUCCAGACUCCUACGGGAGGCAGCAGUGGGGAAUCUUGCACAAUGGGCGAAAGCCUGAUGCAGCGACGCCGCGUGGGGGAUGAAGCAUUUCGGUGUGUAAACCCCUUUCGAUCCGGACGAAACCCCGCAAGGGAUUGACGGUACGGAUAUAAGAAGCCCCGGCUAACUACGUGCCAGCAGCCGCGGUAAGACGUAGGGGGCCAGCGUUGUUCGGAAUUACUGGGUGUAAAGGGUUCGUAGGCGGUGCGGCAAGUUGGGAGUGAAAUCUCUGGGCUUAACCCAGAGGCUGCUUCCAAAACUGCUGUGCUUGAGUGUGGGAGAGGCGCGUGGAAUUGCAGGUGUAGCGGUGAAAUGCGUAGAUAUCUGCAGGAACACCCGUGGCGAAAGCGGCGCGCUGGACCACUACUGACGCUGAGGAACGAAAGCUAGGGGAGCAAACAGGAUUAGAUACCCUAGUAGUCC
Molecule: ribosomal RNA, 770 nt
Filed under: uncultured bacterium
Lineage: Bacteria
Description: bacterial SSU rRNA
Rfam family: Bacterial small subunit ribosomal RNA
Source: RNAcentral